Molecule: ribosomal RNA, 460 nt
Filed under: uncultured bacterium
Lineage: Bacteria
Description: partial 16S ribosomal RNA
Rfam family: Bacterial small subunit ribosomal RNA
Source: RNAcentral
CCUACGGGUGGCAGCAGUGAGGAAUAUUGGUCAAUGGGCGCGAGCCUGAACCAGCCAAGUAGCGUGAAGGAUGACUGCCCUACGGGUUGUAAACUUCUUUUAUAAAGGAAUAAAGUGAGGCACGUGUGCCUUUUUGUAUGUACUUUAUGAAUACGGAUCGGCUAACUCCGUGCCAGCAGCCGCGGUAAUCCGGAGGAUCCGAGCGUUAUCCGGAUUUAUUGGGUUUAAAGGGAGCGUAGAGUGGUUGUUAAGUCAUUUGUGAAAGUUUGCGGCUCAACCGUAAAAUUGCAAUUGAUACUGGCAGUCUUGAGUACAGUUGGGGUAGGCGGAAUUCGUGGUGUAGCGGUGAAAUGCGUAGAUAUAAGGAAGAACACCAGUGGCGAAGGCGGAUGACUGGACGGCAACUGACGGUGAGGCGCGAAAGCGUGGGGAGCAAACAGGAUUAGAUACCCUUGUAGUC